RNAcentral lists this ribosomal RNA (86 nucleotides) under Vibrio alginolyticus. RNAcentral describes it as "partial 16S ribosomal RNA". It matches the Rfam family "Bacterial small subunit ribosomal RNA", at positions 1 to 84 of the family's 1533-position model. The record is from RNAcentral. Lineage: Bacteria; Pseudomonadati; Pseudomonadota; Gammaproteobacteria; Vibrionales; Vibrionaceae. RNAcentral also lists the same sequence under 2 other names.
UUAAAUUGAAGAGUUUGAUCAUGGCUCAGAUUGAACGCUGGCGGCAGGCCUAACACAUGCAAGUCGAGCGGAAACGAGUUAUCUGA